Molecule: ribosomal RNA, 253 nt
Filed under: uncultured bacterium
Lineage: Bacteria
Description: partial 16S ribosomal RNA
Rfam family: Bacterial small subunit ribosomal RNA
Source: RNAcentral
UACGUGAGGGGCGAACGUUGUUCAGUGUCACUGGGCUUAAAGGGUGCGUAGGUGGUUGCGUAAGUAACGUGUGAAAUCCCUCGGCUUACCCGGGGAAUUGCGCGUUAUACUGCGUGACUUGAGGAUUUCAGGGGAAUGGGGAACUCCAGGUGUAGCGGUGAAAUGCGCAGAUAUCAGGAGGAACACCGGUGGCGAAGGCGGGUCUCUGGGCCGAUACUGACGCUGAGGAGCGAAAGCGUGGGGAGCGAACAGG